UAUGAAUGAAUUUACUAAUAUAGCUUUUUUAUUUUUUCUGAAUUUAUAUUUUUGUUGAAAAUAACAAAAUUUUUCUUAAGACUAAAAGACCCUAAAAUUUUUAUAAUAUUUAAUGUAUUAUUUGGUUGGGGAAAUAUAAAACUUUUGUAAAUGUUUAGAACUUUACUUUUUUUUGAACUUUUAUUAUUGAUAAAUGGAAAAAUACUCUAGGG
This 212-nucleotide ribosomal RNA is filed under the name Pseudavenzoaria indica. RNAcentral describes it as "partial 16S ribosomal RNA". Lineage: Eukaryota; Metazoa; Arthropoda; Arachnida; Sarcoptiformes; Avenzoariidae. The record is from RNAcentral.